GGAGAAUCUGAGACUUCUGAAGAGUUUCUUGCUUCUUUCCUGUGGGGCAGUGACUCCACUUCCCAGCAGUAAUGGAAUAUCCUGAAUUAGCUACAUUAAUGUUAGAACCAUUUGGACCUCACCCAGGACUUCAACUACAUUGUGCUAAAGUUACAGAAUCCAAAUUUGGCAACUGCCUGCAUCUGAACAACAGAAGUUUCAACAUUCUGCCAACAGAGUAACUCCUGGACGACUGGCACAGAAGAAGGCACAAGGCAAAUACCCAUCUCUGUACACCCUGUGCUACUGUGUCAUGUGCUGCUCCAGGCAACUCCAAUGGAUUGGCCACCCUGGCCAAUGUGCCCUCCAAACACCAGCACUGAGUAGAAAGAGGCUCUGAUUCAUGAAAUGUGAAUUUAUGACAGUUGCCACUCUUUAAAAAAAAACAGACAGAACUUGAGCAAUACAUGACUGAUGCAUUCUCAGCCUGCUUCCUGUGUUCCAUCUGUCUUUCUGGCAGUGCAUUCACCCUCCAGGUUCUAGUAUGUUAGGUUUAUGUUCCCCUGCUUUCUACAAUCCUGUUCAAAGAGUUGCUGACUUAACCACAGAGAGAAUUCCAGAACAUGAGACACAGAAUAAACUUGAACAAUCAUAGUCCAUCCACUUCAUUUUCUCAUCGAAAACCAAAGGUCCAGUGAGGCUCUGGAACUCGACGCUGUAAAGGAGCGAAGGAGCAUCUAUACAGAACCUGGAUGCCUGUCUCCUUAUCCUACUUCAGCGGACUUGACUGCAAUCCGGAUUAUGCUGUUUUCUAAGCAUUUAAAAUAAAA
This 809-nucleotide non-coding RNA is filed under the name Pongo abelii (Sumatran orangutan). Lineage: Eukaryota; Metazoa; Chordata; Mammalia; Primates; Hominidae. The record is from RNAcentral.